This 1722-nucleotide long non-coding RNA is filed under the name Cyanistes caeruleus (blue tit). Its description in RNAcentral is "lncRNA (ENSCCEG00000001908.1)". Lineage: Eukaryota; Metazoa; Chordata; Aves; Passeriformes; Paridae. The record is from RNAcentral.
GUUGUGGACCUUCAUGGUAAGGUUUUAAAUUGUGAAGUGUUUGCUUCUUAUGUUACAGGAAAAUCUUGUUGAUAAGCUGCUGGCAUAAUUUUUUCCCCAGUUCAGCAGAUAAAAUUUUACUCCCUAAAUUAAUGAAUUAACACCUCUUACUUCCAGCUUCAUCAAUUUGAUCACAUUUCCUCUUGUGUCUUUCCAUUACUUCCUUUUCUCAGCAUGUCAUAAAUACUACUUGCUUUGCUUCUGCAUUGGACAAGACUUUAUCUGUAUUUUCUUCCAUCCUUUCAAUUUGUUCACCUUCUUGGUUUCUGCCCUUUCAGAUGGCAUCAUCUUUUAUUGCACAUAACACCUUUUAUGCUCCCUUGAUUAUCAAAGGACAUUAUUUGGUUAUCAAAGCAUCAUCAAAGGAUACCUACCACUAGUCCCCCCAGAAAAGGCGAAGCUGAUACUUCAGAAGACUGAGCAGCACAAAGCUUCAAUCAAAUUGGAAAAAAUUAUCAUUCUGCAACAACCUCAUAUGAAGCGUCAACAGGUACUCAGUGGAAGUACUGUCAGAAUCUCUGUAACUAUGGCCCCAAAACACAGAUUCUUAGUGUUAUUUAACUAUCUUGUUGGAAACAACAUUAGUUAACUCUGAGCUACCUUUAAGGAGCUUGGCUUUAAGAACUGUUGCAGUUACCCUAAAACACAUAAGCUCCUGUGACAAGCAGAUUUUACAGCCCAGAGCUAUCCAUCUAGGCUCUCCCAGGAAAGGGGAAUGCUAGACACCUAUGCAAGAAACAUGUCAGAAAGCUUCCAGCUGAACACAGAAUGUCUCACACUGGUCAAGAGUGAGAGGUGAAGUGUGAGACAAGGAGUGAAGGCAUCUCAGCUACUGACUCCAUAGAAGAUCUGACAGACCUGAAAUGGCACCUUCCUGCCUGUUCUUGGGCUCUCUUCACAAGCUUGCACCAGGUUUUGUAAGAAAGGGUAGUUUCCACAGAUUACAGAGAAUCUUGCCUCAGGGGUUCUGGAAUUUCAUCCCAGUAAAGGGCUUUGAGUAGCUUGCUAGUGACUAGGCAAUGUCAGCAGUGCCAACCAGGAGAAACUUUGCUGCCUAUCAGGGCAGUGGCAGCUGAGUAGCUGUUCAGGAAAUGUCUUAAGUGGUAGGACACAGACACCAAAGAGACUGGUGAGUGCUAAAGGACCAUUUAUAAACGCCUUGCACAAUAACAGUUCCAGAAUAACCUGGAAGUUCAUAAUGCAGUCCAAGCCACCAUCAACUACUAGUUCUGUACUAUUAAAACUGACCUGAGUAGGAUUAAGGCCAUUGCCUCUGGCAUACUUGUGAUUAACCUCCUGUUCAAUUGUACUCUCCAAAGAGUUCCUUCCAGUAUCUGAAGGGGCCUACAAGGAAGAUGGAGAGUGACUUUUCACAGAAAAUACAAUGAUAAGACAAAGAGUAGCGGGUUCAAGCUGAAAAUCUUCAGCUCAGCUGCUAAUGAUGCAUUUUCUUAUCACUUCUAAGUGAUAAGGAAAUCACAUCUUUUUUCAUUUUAAGUGAAGGGUUCUUCAACCAUCACUGUGGUGAAUAUAAACUCAGAAAAAUAGUUUGCAAGAGUAUAGGUCUAUAUUGUCUGUUGCAUUAAUGUUCCAGCCAACAGACAUUGCACUUUUACUGCCAUCUUCAUGGACAAUGAAAAUUUGAAUACAAAUAAAUCUCCAAUAUAUAACUAAGAAAAGGCA